Molecule: ribosomal RNA, 492 nt
Filed under: uncultured bacterium
Lineage: Bacteria
Description: partial 16S ribosomal RNA
Rfam family: Bacterial small subunit ribosomal RNA
Source: RNAcentral
AGUGAACGCUGGCGGUAGGCCUAACACAUGCAAGUCGAACGGCAGCACAGUAAGAGCUUGCUCUUACGGGUGGCGAGUGGCGGACGGGUGAGGAAUACAUCGGAAUCUACUUUUUCGGGGGGGAUAACGUAGGGAAACUUACGCUAAUACCGCAUACGACCUACGGGUGAAAGCAGGGGAUAUUCGGACCUUGCGCGAUUGAAUGAGCCGAUGUCGGAUUAGCUAGUUGGCAGGGUAAAGGCCCACCAAGGCAACGAUCCGUAGCUGGUCUGAGAGGAUGAUCAGCCACACUGGAACUGAGACACGGUCCAGACUCCUACGGGAGGCAGCAGUGGGGAAUAUUGGACAAAGGGCGCAAGCCUGAUCCAGCCAUACCGCGUGGGUGAAGAAGGCCUUCGGGUUGUAAAGCCCUUUUGUUGGGAAAGAAAAGCAGCAGAUUAAUACCCCGCUGUUCUGACGGUACCCAAAGAAUAAGCACCGGCUAACUUCGUG